Molecule: long non-coding RNA, 445 nt
Organism: Triticum aestivum (bread wheat)
Lineage: Eukaryota; Viridiplantae; Streptophyta; Magnoliopsida; Poales; Poaceae
Exons: 3
Source: RefSeq, a predicted model, not a curated record
CACGCCCCAGUCCCUUCGUUCUUCCCAAUUUUAUUUCCUCAUGGAGUCCACGACCGCCGUCGCCCACAGACCCCUCUCAUCACACGGGAUCCCAAUACCGCACGUCGGACGAAGCGCAUGUGAGGUUGGAAUGCAAAACUCUGAAUCCCAUUACAAUUCUCAAGGUUUAUGGCUUCUGAAAUUUGCCCUAAGGAUGCAGCAAACUCGAUUUCCCAAGAGGUUGGAACUCAAAACUCUGAAGCCAUUAGCCCUCCCUCGGAUGUAUUGGGCCCAAAGACCAAAUCACCGGAACCAUCACAAUGUUUUUUAUGCAGAUAUUUGGUGAACUAGAUUAUGUGUCUUCACCGCUGUGUUGGAUAAGUAUCGUGGUGUCAUCUUUUGACUCAAAUAUGUGCAAGGGGUACAAAAAUGCUUUUUCUGAUUAUAUGCCAAUUGAUCAGUACUA